Molecule: unclassified non-coding RNA, 348 nt
Filed under: soil metagenome
Description: partial contains 5.8S ribosomal RNA, internal transcribed spacer 2, and large subunit ribosomal RNA
Rfam family: 5.8S ribosomal RNA (bases 1-120)
Source: RNAcentral
GAUGAAGAACGCAGCGAAAUGCGAUAAGUAAUGUGAAUUGCAGAAUUCAGUGAAUCAUCGAGUCUUUGAACGCACAUUGCGCCCCCUGGUAUUCCGGGGGGCAUGCCUGUCCGAGCGUCAUUGCCGCCCUCAAGCGCGGCUUGUGUGUUGGGCCCCCGCCCCCCGGCUUCGGGGGGCGGGCCCGAAAGGCAGCGGCGGCACCGCGUCCGGUCCUCGAGCGUAUGGGGCUUCGUCACCCGCUCUGUAGGCCCGGCCGGCGCCCGCCGGCGACCCCAAUCAAUCUUUCCAGGUUGACCUCGGAUCAGGUAGGGAUACCCGCUGAACUUAAGCAUAUCAAUAAGCGGAGGA